GACGAACGCUGGCGGCGUGCUUAACACAUGCAAGUCGAACGGUGAACUCCGCUUGCGGGGGGAUCAGUGGCGAACGGGUGAGUAACACGUGGGCAACCUGCCCUCAGCUCUGGGAUAACUCCAAGAAAUUGGGGCUAAUACCGGAUAUGACCGCUGACCGCAUGGUCUGGUGGUGGAAAGAUUUAUCGGCUGGGGAUGGGCCCGCGGCCUAUCAGCUUGUUGGUGGGGUAGUGGCCUACCAAGGCGACGACGGGUAGCCGGCCCGAGAGGGUGACCGGCCACACUGGGACUGAGACACGGCCCAGACUCCUACGGGAGGCAGCAGUGGGGAAUAUUGCGCAAUGGGCGAAAGCCGGACGCAGCGACGCCGCGUGGGGGAUGACGGCCUUCGGGUUGUAAACCUCUUUCAGCAGGGACGAAGCGAAAGUGACGGUACCUGCAGAAGAAGCACCGGCCAACUACGU
Molecule: ribosomal RNA, 464 nt
Filed under: uncultured bacterium
Lineage: Bacteria
Description: partial 16S ribosomal RNA
Rfam family: Bacterial small subunit ribosomal RNA
Source: RNAcentral